UACGGAGGGGGUUAGCGUUGUUCGGAAUUACUGGGCGUAAAGCGCGCGUAGGCGGACCAGAAAGUUGGGGGUGAAAUCCCGGGGCUCAACCCCGGAACGGCCUCCAAAACUCCUGGUCUUGAGUUCGAGAGAGGUGAGUGGAAUUCCGAGUGUAGAGGUGAAAUUCGUAGAUAUUCGGAGGGACACCAGUGGCGAAGGCGGCUCACUGGCUCGAUACUGACGCUGAGGUGCGAAAGUGUGGGGAGCAAACAGC
This 253-nucleotide ribosomal RNA is filed under the name uncultured bacterium. RNAcentral's name for it is "partial 16S ribosomal RNA". It matches the Rfam family "Bacterial small subunit ribosomal RNA", at positions 524 to 776 of the family's 1533-position model. The record is from RNAcentral.